GAUGAAGAACGUAGCGAAAUGCCAUACUUGGUGUGAAUUGCAGAAUCCCGUGAACCAUCGAGUCUUUGAACGCAAGUUGCGCCCGAAGCCAUUAGGCCGAGGGCACGCCUGCCUGGGCGUCACACGUCGUUGCCCCCCCAUCUACUCCUUCGGGAUUGCGGGGGGCGGAUGAUGGCCUCCCGUGCGCCUCGCCGCGCGGUUGGCAUAAAUGCCAAGUCCUCGGCGACGCACGCCACGACAAUCGGUGGUUGCGAAACCUCGGUUGCCCGUCGUGUGCGGUCGUCGCGCAUCGAGGGCUCGAAAAAAUUGCCGGGUUCCGGCUCGGCUUUCAACGCGACCCCAGGUCAGGCGGGGUUACCCGCUGAAUUUAAGCAUAUCAAUAAGCGGAGGA
RNAcentral lists this unclassified non-coding RNA (391 nucleotides) under soil metagenome. Its description in RNAcentral is "partial contains 5.8S ribosomal RNA, internal transcribed spacer 2, and large subunit ribosomal RNA". The stretch from base 1 to 122 matches the Rfam family "5.8S ribosomal RNA", at positions 35 to 154 of the family's 154-position model. The record is from RNAcentral.